GACGUAGGGGGCCAGCGUUGUUCGGAAUUACUGGGUGUAAAGGGUUCGUAGGCGGUGCGGCAAGUUGGGAGUGAAAUCUCUGGGCUCAACCCAGAGGCUGCUUCCAAAACUGCUGUGCUUGAGUGUGAGAGAGGCUCGUGGAAUUGCAGGUGUAGCGGUGAAAUGCGUAGAUAUUGGGAAGAACACCGGUGGCGAAGGCGGCUAUCUGGACCGACAUUGACGCUGAGGCGCGAAAGCGUGGGGAGCAAACAGG
This 253-nucleotide ribosomal RNA is filed under the name uncultured bacterium. Its description in RNAcentral is "partial 16S ribosomal RNA". It matches the Rfam family "Bacterial small subunit ribosomal RNA", at positions 524 to 776 of the family's 1533-position model. The record is from RNAcentral.